UGACCUCAGAUCAGGCAAGAUCACCCGCUGAGUUUAAGCAUAUCACUAAGCGGAGGAAAAGAACUAACGAGGAUUCCUUAGUAACGGCGAGCGAACCGAAGUAGCCCC
RNAcentral lists this ribosomal RNA (108 nucleotides) under Frullania chevalieri. RNAcentral's name for it is "partial 26S ribosomal RNA". It matches the Rfam family "Eukaryotic large subunit ribosomal RNA", at positions 1 to 111 of the family's 3401-position model. The record is from RNAcentral. Lineage: Eukaryota; Viridiplantae; Streptophyta; Jungermanniopsida; Porellales; Frullaniaceae.